UAAAAAAUAUCAUUUGAAGUUGUGAAGUUUCUAUGAACAUGGAUGGGAGCCCCAAGAAUUAAAUUUUUACUGAUUUCUGUUAUUCAGUCUAAGAGUGUCCGUUCUUAUGCCUUGUAUGGUAGUUAUAUCAAAAGUGCCUAGAAGACGGAAAACAAAUUUAGAUGUGAAGACGGAAAACAAAUUUGACAAGCUCGUCGUAACUCUACGGGGGAACAUUAGAAGAAAAAGACUUUUGGUUCGUUGAGAACGAAAACCUUUCACUGAGAGAACCAUUUGUAUAUUCUACCGGGAAGACAACAAACAUUAAAAGACAAGCCCUUUUGGUUGGCUAGUUUUCCUUUCAUUACCAAAAUAAUUUACAUAUUUCAUCUCUUUAUAUUGAGAUAUAUGUAUUUGUAGUCUGCUAAGUAAUCGAUCAGAAUUCUCUGGAAAAUAAUAAAAAUAAAAAUAAAAUCCCAACCAACACGUGUAGCAAAAAUGCUUUUAAAAUUUUCAUAAUACAUGGGACCCCAGUGGGCUUCUGUCGAUGUGGAAUCGAAUGACCAUUGAUAUACGUAAAAAAAUACCCUUCUAAAUAGAGCCCACUGAAAGACAAAACCACUCACCAAAGGGAGUAAUGCAAGAGAAAAAAAAUCUCUAUCAGAAAAACAUAUGCACAACAAAAGAUAAAAAAACAAUCCUACCAAAAGCCGCUUCUUCCAAAUUUAAGCAAAAAAAUUUAUAAAGAAAAGGCAUUAUAACAGUUUUGUAACUUAAUUCUUUGAAGGAAAAAAAAAGAAAAAAAGAAAAAGAUCACUGUUAUCGUUCAUUUCCGUCCUUUUAUUUCCUUCACCUUAUUCAUUGAAUAGAACAUGCACACCAUCCAUCCAUCUUGACGAGGGGGUGUCCCAUUCACUUGAUUGCAUUGUUUUCCCCCUCCCACAGCUCCCACAAGAAUAGAACACAAAAAAAAAGUAACAAAGCAAAUAAAGAAAAUCAUCUUCCUUCUCUAUUAUUUCUAUAAUUAAUGUUUUAUAAAAUAGACAAGGAUCCAUAUGCCAAACAGAUAGAUAUUCAGAAAACGAGCACACUCAUGUAGAGAGGGGAAUAAAAAAAUUCCGAAGAUGUGGAAUCAGGGCAAUUUGUUAUGGAGAAAGCAUGCAUAAUCAAUCAAGCAGGUCAAUUUAUAGCCGAUGAUAAUAUAAAGAGUGGUGCACGGAAUGAAUCAAAGUCUCCCUGGGCCCAUUGAGCUAGGCCACUUAUGGGUCAGAGCCUGGUUUGAGUCUUUUGGGCGGGUAACUAUAUGAGUUCAGACUAUGUUCGCUGAGCUUGACUCAAAUCAACCCAGAGCAGAAAUAAAGUCACCCCUAAUUCCAAGGUUAUCUCAAUCAGGCCUUGCUCAACUAUAGGUCCUUCCUUGUCCACGAUCAUUGUCCAUCAAGUAGCACCUUAAGCAUUCAUUUCCUACCCUUUCCCUGAGUUCAUUUCCUUGUCGAUAGCUCCUUGAUCAAACAUGACCAUGAGUGGGACAAUUCCAUGGAGGAUGAGUCAUUGCCAUAGCUGGCGAUGGUCACAGAGGGUCACAAACUUCUCAAGAUGUCUAAAAGAGCAUCCGAUAAAGAGCCUAGGCAGCAAGGCGGGUGCCCAUGUGGUGAUGUCGCAGCCAACUUGAAGCUUUCUCUUCUUUUUUUUUUCUUUUUUGUCCCCUCCUCCUCUUUAUGAUGAUUGAUUACUGGCUCUUCUUCUUUCCUUUUUCACUUAUUUUGCAAAAGAAAAAGGAAUAACAAUGGAGAAACCUAGACGAAAAGUGGAUGAAACCAUUGUCUCAUACACAUACCCCCUCCUCCUAUACCAGAUGCAUAAUACCUUAAGAGUCUACUAUUAUUUGCCCUCAGAGAAGUAUUCCAUUAGUAUUAACAGAAUCACACCUUGUCCUGUGUGUACAUGGCAUGUGAGGGCACAGAAAACCAUAAACGCUCUUCUCAAGAGCCAACACACCUUAUUCUUAAGCCAAGCCUGUGAAUCAAGGUGAGAUAAGAGAGUUUGAGGAAUUUUUAUAUAUUUGGAACAGUGGAUCUAACUAUGACAUGCAAGAACUAAGCUAGGAAGCUGAAUGACUAGCAAUUUUACCUAAAGAGGAUAAUGUUAGUAUAAACAAAAGAAAAAAUGCCAUCCAUCAAUUAUGUCGGACUCCAACACACAAAUUAUAAGCCAAAAAGACAAACUUGUCAUAGUAUUUAAGCCAUGAGAGGUUCUUCUGUAAGGAAGAAGAUCACGGCACCCUUGUCCAACAUAAAGCAGCUCUAGUUAUACACUACUGAAAUAACUGAUGCAUUGAUCUCAACGAAAUCCAGAUCUUGACAUCACUUACCAAAAUUUGUCAUUUUGGUGUCAAUCAUCCAAACAUGUUUUCUUUGAUUCCUGGUCACACCGAAACCAGUUUAAUGAUGCACAUGUUUCAUUCAUUUCGAAAAAGAUAAUAUACCACAAGUUUCAUACCCCAUUUUUAGGUGGUUUAGCCCAUCUUUAGCAAAUACGGUUUCACUUUUUGUCCUCCAUUAAGAAAAAUAUGCAAGAUAAAUUUCUCUCAUCCAGUGCAUGCUUGGCAUUCUCACAAUGGAUCAGUGUUGCAUCCUACAUUUUCAGCUUUCUUAAAGGUUCUUCAGGUCAUAACUUCCAUUUUUUUUUCCAGUCAACAUUGACUUUCAAUCAGUGGAAUUCUCAAUCAUUUUUUGUUCAAACAAAGAAACUAAAUCACAAAUCAUUCGCCUUUUCGUUGAAGUUUUAGAUUUUGAUAAUUAGCAUUCUUGAAUUCACUUAAUCGUACCUUCUAAUUUGACAUAUUUUGAAGAUGCACCUUAACGGACAAAUCAUAAUAAGACAAAAGACUACAAUAAGAAGCCAAUGAUGUUUCAAUCAUCUGCCUGUAGAAGAUUCUAAUUGGUGAAGCAUAGCUAAUGUCAUUGUUUCCAGCAUUAUUCAAAUAAUGUCCUAUGAACUGGUUUUGUCCCAAGUUUCGGCUCACAACUACCUAGCCCAUAGCCUGCUAACAAUGACAAUAUAAGUUUAGCUAAAACACAGACAAAUUAUUUCUCCUUGGAACAAAUUAUAUCCUCUCAAAUAGGAGUAUCUCCAGACAACUCCCAACCCUAAAACUUUAAGAAGUGAUUCACUAGUCCUAAUCCUGAAAAAGAGGAAGGUGCAUGCCUCAUGCACUUGCUCAGCCCCAGAUUGUCCUGUAAUCAAACCCAGCCUGCAGCCUACUCAUACAAAAAUCCAUACCUGACCACAAUAUAGGCCAACUUAACGGAAGAACACAACUAAUAACAGAGCAGAAGAGAGAGAUGCAUACACUUGUUUCUUACAAAAUUUUGUAUUUUCACAAAAUAUUGCUUCAGCCAACAACUUAGGUAUCAAUUCUCGGUACUACUGCGUUUAGGUAUGUAAACCAUUUAGGAAUCCGACAUUUACCCAACAAUGUGGGUGGUCUCUCUUUCCAUGCACCACCAUACUAUCAAUAACACAUUUUGACACUUAGACAUCAAGCAACAACCUCAGAAUUUAAAAUAGAAGAUGCAACUCAGAUUACUGCAAAACCACACUCUACUGUUAAACUCCACUGUAACAUGGAAGAGUGACACCAGAAAUUUAGCAUUCAUGCAUGUUGUUAGGAACAAAAUCAAUCAUGACUCUGAUCUUCUCAAUCUAAUUCUUCCUCGGACCACAUUAAAAAUCCUAGUCUACCUUAGCCAAGACCAAUUGUCUGCAAUAUAAUAACUAGUACAAUCUUAACAUCAACCUAGUUGCACCGCAUAAAUCUACCCCUCAAAACCCCUCCUGAAUACAGUAUAUAUGAAUGACAAAGUGUGAACGUUGAUCUGGGUAAUUAUCUACACACUGUAUUUAAUUUUAAGGCAUUGGGAAAACAUGAAAUAAAUAUGGUGGAUGGUGCAAAUAUUAGUCUAAUUUUAAGAUCCUUAGGUUCUUCUCAGUAAGUGUUCAGCACGAGCUUAAAAUCUUAGAUCUAUAGUUCUUGAACCCCAACUAGUAAUAGAUUUCCCCGGCUCUCAAGAUCAUGACGUAACAUAUACUUAGGCCCUUAUUCUUUUCACCAGAUUGGACACAAGAUUCAAAGAAACAAACAACGUUAUACAGAUUCACAAACUGGGAGAAUAGUUCCAACCAUUGACUUUCGGAGGCUCAAAUUUGUUGACAAUAGAUAUGUAGUAGCAUCUUAACUAAAUGAUCAAUUUACCCAGCCAGAAAAGCCAAGUUGAAACAGAGAAAAGACUCAAGGUGGUCCAUCGUUCACAAGACCCUUAGGUUCUUCUGUCAAAUGUUCAGCACCAGCCUAAACUCCUGGAUCUAUAGUUCUUGAAUCGCAUUCAACGAUAGAUUUCCCCAUUUCUCAAGAUCAUGACAUACCAUAUGGUUAGACCCAUAUUCCUUGAUCAGAUUGGCACAGAAGAAUCAAGAAACUACACGAAUCGAUUUAAAAAAAAAAGCGUCGUACAGAUUUAUAAACUGGGAAUACAUCGUCAUGGCAGAAGAGAAUAAACUCCAAGAAAUAACAAGAACCAAGAAUAUGACCACAUAGCAUGGAAGAUUGGGUACCUCGUCCAGGUGUCCGGAUCGACCCAUUGGCGAUGGGGAGCCGCAUGGUGGGGGGAGAAACCCGAGACAUCUGCCUGCGAGAGAACCGACAUCCCCCCGCCCCCUUGCGCGGCAAGACCAGUGGAUCCGCGGUGGCGAUCGUACCCGGUUUCGCCCGCUCCUUCUUGGAUCCAAGGACGUCCGCAGAACUGCGAUCGAGGGAACUCGAAAGAGGGUUUCGAUCGAACAAACUUGGGUGGAUCGGAAAGCAACGAGGAGGGAAAAGGGAUGCAAACCGUUUAAAUCGUGACGACGCUAAUCUUUUUCCCUUCGAAUCCUCGUUUCUUUGCGUACGGAAAC
RNAcentral lists this long non-coding RNA (4932 nucleotides) under Musa acuminata (dwarf banana). RNAcentral describes it as "long non-coding RNA (MACU_LNC004843)". Lineage: Eukaryota; Viridiplantae; Streptophyta; Magnoliopsida; Zingiberales; Musaceae. The record is from RNAcentral.